ACAUGAAGAUAGAGGGAAAGGAGCAAUCCGCUGAUAGAUGGGCUUGCGUCUGAUUAGAUAGUUGUGGGGUAACGGCCUACCAAGUCGACGAUCAGUAGCCGGACUGAGAGGUUGAACGGCCACAUUGGGACUGAGAUACGGCCCAGACUCCUACGGGAGGCAGCAGUCGGGAAUAUUGCGCAAUGGAGGAAACUCUGACGCAGUGACGCCGCGUGCAGGAAGAAGGUUUUCGGAUUGUAAACUGCUUUAGACAGGGAAGAAACAAGACAGUACCUGUAGAAUAAGCUCCGGCUAACUAC
Molecule: ribosomal RNA, 299 nt
Filed under: uncultured bacterium
Lineage: Bacteria
Description: partial 16S ribosomal RNA
Rfam family: Bacterial small subunit ribosomal RNA
Source: RNAcentral